GAGAGAGAGCAGGGAGGGAGCUUUAAAUGGGGGACAAAUGGACAACCAAUGACUGCAUCCCGGGAAUACACGUUUUGAAUAGAAGCGAGCCAAUUUGCACAUUAUUUUGGAUUUUUUGUUGUUGUUGUUUUUUUCACCGUGGUAACUUUUUUAAUAUAUAUAUUUUUUAAUUUUCUUUUUACCUCAUAUACAAUAAAAUAGUGUUUUUUUGUUUGUUUUUUUGGCAGCAAUUUUUGCCUAUUUUUCCCACUUUAUCCUGGUCGUGACUUUUAUUCUCGCUCGGCCUCUGGGACUCAGAGUGCACAACUCUGCCUCCCUCAUUUCCCCGCCGCCUUCUCUCCUUAUAUUUUGGGAGGCAGGAGGAGGAGGGAGGGGGGGAGAAACUCACUUGCCAUUGACUUCUUACCCUUUUUUUUAUGUAUUAUUUUCUUCUUUUUUUAUUACUCCAGUACCCCUUAUUAAAACCAUUAGUCCAGUGUUGGAACUACAAUCCAGUGCCAACUUGAAAGCUUCUCGGAGACAUAAAAGCACUUUUCGUUGCAUUUGAUCUGGUGGCUAAAGGACACGAUCAAUGUCCGCAUCCAGUCAUGGGACUCGGCUUACGGCGGUGACCGGGGUGGUGUGAUUUUCAUGUUUAUGACUAAAACCACUUCAUAUUUAGACAGGGCUUAUGAGGGUGUUAAAAUAGUGUGAGUUCACCCCUAAAACGAACAGUGCCCUCAUUGUGAAAGAGCCGAGUAUAAGGCGUAGCAUCUAGACUCUGCUUAAUCCUUCCUCAAUAAAGCUGACAUAAUGAUCCUAAGCCGCCUUUCUACAAAUUCAUUCAGGGAUUCAAAACUUUUUCCUUCUCUCUCUCUCUCUCUCUCUCUGCGAUUUGCACAUUCUCUCCGGAUCUGGACCGACUGACCGCCAACCUCAAGCUUGGAGCUUUCUGAAGGACUAGUGAGUAUGCCACAGCUCCCUAUGCUGCAUGCGUGACCAACACCUGUUUUGGCACUUAACGCGCUCAACGUCGGCGCUGCGGCGCGAAUUUGCGCGCUUUUACGCACGGAGCGUCUUGGAGCCGCUCAGGUGUCUUGCGUGUGGAAAGUGUGCACGCCGCGGAGCCGGGGCUUGUGUGAUGAUCUUUGUUCAGGCGGGUUUUUUUGUUGUUGUUGUUUUGUUUUGUUUGUGCCUUAACUUGGCGCUUUGUGUGUGGGUGCGCGCGCGCGCGUUUGUGUAGUGGGUGGGAGGUGGAGGUGGGGCAGCAUGUUGGAUCAAACCUGUCCACUGUGCUGCUUGCACCAAACCCAGGAGGACUAAUUCCAAGUGGCACUUGAAUUGGCCCCAUUGCAAAGCUCUGUGGACUGGAAGUAAAGGCUGGUAUUUUCAUGCUGGUGUUAAAACCAACCUUCCAGCCUAUAACCCCUCUCUCUCUCUCUCUUUCUCUCCCUCGCCUUCUCUCUUACGCGCACACACACACACAAACACGCGCGCUCAUGCACAACCCCAGGUUGUGACUGUUUGGCUUAGCAAGACUACUUCAGGAAUAUGCAAACACCUGACUGGGCGCACCGAAUUGGUUGAUCACAACUCAAACCGAGGCUCCAGGUAUUACCCCGCAUUACGUCGUUCGGCUUUUUGUUGUUUUUCUUCUUCCUGUUUUCAGGGGAGUCCCAUUUGUGGAGUUGAACCUCGCAUGGCAAUUCGGAAAUCACUCCAAAAUCUAAGAAGGAGACUAGAUUGUGAAAUGUAAAACCUGAAUGAAUGGGGAUUUGAGAGAGAGAGAGAGAGAAAGAGAGGAAAGCCUGUGGUAAUUCACAUUCUUUUACAUGGCUUUUGUUUACGUUAAGCGUGUAAUUAACACCUCUCCCCCCUCCCACUCCCCUCUAACAAGUUUAUUCACCUGGCGUAAUUGUGUGUUUAUCGCUGAAUGUUCCUAACAGCGGGGGGGUGACGGGAGCUCUGAAUGCGCGGAGAGAAUCUGGUGAGUUCUCCGUUUGCUAACAGCCUUAAAAAACCCCAAAACAAACAAACAAAAAAAACUCCAUAAGGAACAACAACAAACACAAACAAGAGUCUGCCGCGCCGGAGCACUAAAGCGGCUGGUAAGCGGCUCCCCCCACCACACACACAUGUCUUCUUGGAGGUGUUCUAUUAUUUGUGCGCAACGCUGUUUAAGAAAAUAAGUUUCUGCAAAAUAAAUAAAUAAAUAAAUAAAUGUUUAUUUUGGCAGUCGAUACAGAGACACCCAUUGGAUCCGAGGCGUUAUUCGCCAUCCUGAUUAUUCACUGCUUACUGUCUGUUUGUCCUUAUCAGUCUGUCCCAAUGAGGAAAGCAAAUAAACAAAGAUGAUGUUACGUCAUGUGAGGGGGUGAGAGAGAGAGAGAGAGAGAGAGAGAGAUGGGCACUGGAUGAGAGAAAGAAAUUUAAAAAAAGGUGUUGGCUGAAAAAGGUAUAACAGGAAAAGAGAAAGAAGGCACGAAAGUAAGGAUCUUCUUUUAUUUCAGUUAUUUAUUUAUUUUUCUCCCCCUGCUCCCUCGUUGACCUUCUGUUUGGAGAGAGGAAGGCAGCAGCACAGCACUGCUCACUGGCAAACACAGGAGAGAGGCGCCCGGUGCUGCAGCUGCUGCUGCUGCUGCUGCUGCUGCUGCUGCUGCAACCGGGAUUCACCUCAUCUACACAGGACGGGAUCCUGGAUUGAUCACGGUCUUCCAAAAACUGUCAAGAUUUAAGCCUGGUUGGAGGCGGCACAGGCUCCGCGCUAACUCGGUGGAAAUUCAGCUGCAACUCCUCCGCCUGGUGCAGCAAUGUGACAGAGAGGGGCAGCGCCGGAGGAGGCCGGGUGUUCACUCUUCCAGGAUGCAGAAGUUACGCCUCCCGAAGCACAAAGACUCCGUUAAAGCUUCUAAAGUCUCCAAUCAACCAACAUGAGUGAUCCAUAGCUGAAGUGUCCCUCCUACUCUGUAUGUAGUAUUUGUCGCAGUGAUCCAAAUACCAUUGUCUCACAUUUUGAUUGUUGCUUUUGCAUGACCAGCAAGUUCUUCUUCUCUCUCUCUCUUUCUCUCUGUCUGUCUCCGCGUUUCUCUCCUUCUCCUCCUUGACUGCAGCUUUUGACAUUACUCCACUCGAUUGCCCGUUUACCCCCGAGUCAAGUUUGAGGCGGGUAUGAAGUGUAAAAGAGGUGGGCCAUGUCAUAUCCGCUCAGUGUGCAUGGGAUUGUUGGCAUGCACGGCGGUGAUCAUUGUUCAGGGAGAACAAUUCUUGCUCAGAGCAGGCAGGGAAAAGUGAGGAGGAUGGUGGAGAACUGGGGCUGAUGAAACGAUUUGUUCACAGGUUUUUCAGCAGUGGCAGUGUGAUUAUAUCACAAGCACAUUUUUUUGCUUGCUUGUUUGUUUUUAAGCCACAUUUGUUCAUAGACAAAAUUCCACCAUCAUAUUUGCUAAACUUGAGUAACAUUUCCCUCUCCUUCCUGGACACAAAGGUAAUUUCAGUAUAAUAUGAUGCAUAUUAAGAUAUUGAAACACUUAUAUAUUAUCUAUUCUACACUGAUAAAACAAAAUAUUAGAAUUGAAUACUUACAAUUGAUGAAGCACUUUGCUUAUAUUCACUUUGGAGGCUUUCUGAGUUGAUUGAUUUAAGCUCAACAGUCAGCAUGUAGAUUAGUGACUCAGCUAGUUAACUAGUUAGCACGGUUCUUUUCCUUAUUUGUCCUCCACGGUGGGAAAGAAGAACAAAAAACUUUUUUUUUUGUGUUUAAAGAAUGAAAUGUUACUGAUACAAUUUAGUAAAUCUUUUCUAACAAGAUUUUCCCUACCAACAAAGUUAUGCCACUUGUUUCUUCAUGGUUUAUCCGCACGUUAGCAUGUUCAACAGUAGCUUUAGCAUUGUUGCUAAACUACUUCAAGAUGGAUACAAACUUAAAUUGUUGUUGCAGUGCACUAUUUCAACCAAAAAUCUCCAGGUAAUUGUUCAUUUUAAGAUCUUCAUAUCACACACACACACACACACACACACACAUAUAUAUAUAUAUAAGCUUUAAUGUGGGUGUAUAAGGAGUAGAAUAAAGUUUGACUGACUCAACAUCUUCACUUCCGUUUUUCUCAAAUGUUUAAGUAGAAAUUUUAUUAAAGUAACACAAUAUUUGUAUAAUUUAACCACAAUUUUACAUUGCAUAAACAAACUAAUAUAGGUGACCAAAAUCUACAAAUAUUAAUGGGUACAAUUUAUUCAAUUUUUAUGUGAACUUAAACAUUUACUGGAUGGAUCUGUUGUACUAGAGAGAGAGUUCUUAUUUUGAACUCCAUGUUGACUGAAAAUUAAUUAUCUUGAAUCUUUCAGCACAAACAAAUUGAAUCUCUAAAACAUUGAGAUCAGAAUCAGAAUGCUUUUAUUCGUAUGGUACCGAGGCGAUAACAAUACAAUUAAUUUAAGUACAUUAUAAGAAUUUGAUGUUUGCAGUUUUAAGGAAAUUUAUUUUCCAGUCUAAUGACGUAAGUCCACUCUGAAGUGUACUAUUACAGCUAAGUAGUAGAGUACACAUGUUUAUUGCGCACAAAUAAAAUAAGUCUCACUGACCUAAAAUUAACGUCACCGUUUUAGUGAUUAAUCAGGCAUUUACCUCUCACGUGGUUGCUAUAGGCAAUAGGUUAACACCUUAUCCUUUACAUUAUGGGGUCUCAGGUUUGUUUGUUUUCAUCGAGCGGCUUGGACUCACCAGCCAAUCAGAGGUGUUGUCCGAAAUCAACUGUCCCGUAACUGGAAACUAUAGACAAGUCUUAUUUACGGCUGAGCAGAGCCCGUCCGAUCUGAUUAUGGUCGGUAUAUUGGAUCAAUAACUGAUGUCUGAGAGAACCGAGAAGGGUGGAGUGCAGGGACAGGAGGGAAGCAAAGGUGCAACAGGUCACUCAUUAGAAAGGAUGAGCCAUUGAACUCUUUAUUAUUAUUAUUAUUAGUAGUAUUAGUAGUAGUAUUAAAUAAUAAUAAUAAUUAUUAUUAUUAUUAG
Xiphophorus couchianus (Monterrey platyfish) is the source of this 4984-nucleotide long non-coding RNA. RefSeq lists it as uncharacterized. The record is from RefSeq and is a predicted model, not a curated record. NCBI's taxonomy places the organism in Eukaryota, Metazoa, Chordata, Actinopteri, Cyprinodontiformes, Poeciliidae. The transcript is spliced from 4 exons.